Apis dorsata (giant honeybee) is the source of this 412-nucleotide long non-coding RNA. RefSeq lists it as uncharacterized. The transcript has 2 exons. The record is from RefSeq and is a predicted model, not a curated record. NCBI's taxonomy places the organism in Eukaryota, Metazoa, Arthropoda, Insecta, Hymenoptera, Apidae.
GAACGAGAAGGAAGGAAGGAAGAGAGCGUAGCACGGUGGUCGUCGAGUGGGCGAUUUCGUCUGGACCCGGUGGUUUGCAGCGUAUGUCGCCUAAUCGACAACGACGACAAGGGUGCCCCGGUGGUGAAUGGCUCAGACGAGGACCUCGUUAACUAUGGCCUUGGCGCCGUUCGAGAUGCCCGCUUUGAUAUCGCGGCUCUGAAAACUGAACAACCGGGCUCGUGGCGCGCUCUCUCACCUUCGUCCUUCUCCUUUUUUCCUCUCCCUCUCCCUUUUACUCAGGGAGAAAUCGAUCGAUCGAUCACAGGAUCUUUCUUUCUGGUGGAGUCGAAGAAAGGUGUAUAUUCUGAAUUAUCGUUGAGAAUAAUGCAUAUAUAUUUCAAAAGUAGCGUUUAAAAUUAAAAUCUGAAAA